UUCAGGUUUGUUCAUAUGCCCCAACGAAUACUGUGGUCGAGCAUACAAAUUCAAGAAAGGCUUGAUGAGACAUUUCGCCAACGAAUGUGCUGUGAAAAAGUUCUUCUGCCCUAAUUUCGGUUGUGAUCGAAGUUACAAGUAUAAAAGUGGACUGAGAAGACACGUGACUUACGAAUGUGGCAAAGAGAAGCAAUUCGAAUGCGAUAUAUGUUUCAAAACUUUUAGUCAAAGUGAACACGUUAAAAGACAUUGUAUCAAUGUGCAUGGAGUUGUUCACUGAUAACGAGCCUGUACUGGAUUAUAUUUUUUUGAAACCCCUUUUAUUGCAAUUUUAAAUGUUUUAAAUCAUAAAUUUUUAUUUAUUGUAUGAUGUACUAUUUUAAUGAUGUAUGUUUAAAUUUAAAUUCGUGUCUCAAUUUGUUUUUUGUUUUUCAAUUUCAUGUGGCCAAGUGCCAAAUAAAACUUCAUGAUGUCUCAAA
Planococcus citri (citrus mealybug) is the source of this 479-nucleotide long non-coding RNA. RefSeq lists it as uncharacterized. The record is from RefSeq and is a predicted model, not a curated record. The transcript is spliced from 2 exons. Lineage: Eukaryota; Metazoa; Arthropoda; Insecta; Hemiptera; Pseudococcidae.